GAAGUUUGGGGGGAAGGGGGCUCAGGUUAGCAGCUGUUUAAAAAUGCGCUGGUGGAAGCUUUGGGGUCCCAGUGGCAGUUAUAGUUUGAAGAGAAGGGAUGACCUCCUUUGCCAUCCCACUCCAAAGCCCCCCUCCUCCCCCACUCUCCUGCUGAAUGCCAGAUGCAGCCCAUCCCUGCUGGGUGGGACCAGGAUGGAGCUAAGGCCAUGACCUUGACCACAGAGCUCUACCAUUCAAUGUCCACUGUCAAUUAAUUGGGAUGAAAGUGAAGAAAUCCUUGUAGUCUUGGCAUUGCUGUGUGGCAUCUUCAGGCUCACCUAUAUUUAUUUGGUGAAGAGAUGGUUCAAGAUUUUCCAGUGGCUUUCUUAAGGAGGAAUCCCUGGGAGCCAAAGAAAUUGACAACUAUAGAGGGCACUGGGGCACAGAUCUUCCACAGAAAAAUAUACUUGUUUGAUGAUCCUUAAAAAGGUUAGGAGUGAUUAUUCUUAUGCCUGGCCUAGGAUGCUACCUAGUCUAUGGCACCAGAUCUGCAUCUUAGCCAACACAGUGAGGUGGUACAAUGUAUAAAGUCCUGGAUUCAAGAAGAUUCAUCUUCCUGAGUCCAAGUCUAGCCUCAGACAUUUACUAGCUAUGUGACCCUGUUUGCCUCAGCUUCUCCAUCUGUAAAAUGAGUUAGAGAGUGAAAUGGUAAACCACUCCAAUGUUUUUGCCAAUAAAAUCUUAAAUGAGAUUACAAAGAGUUGGACACAACAAACGAUUGAACAGCAGAACCUUCCAGCUGAAGCCCCAGCUCUCUAUUAGCUCCCUUCCUUGAUCUUUCUCUUUCUUCUUCCUUCUUUUCUUUUCCAUAGCAUAAGGUAACAAGAUCAUUGAUGUAGAUCUGGAAGAGGCCCCAGAUAUUAUCUAGUUGAACUCUUUCAUAUAUGAGGAAACUGAAGGCCAGGACAUGGGAGAAACAUCAGUCAGAGAAACCAUCUGGUCUCAUCCGAAGUCUUUGUCCCAGGCCACAAGGCACUUCCAAUGGAUUCUGAUUCUAUCACGUAAGUGGGCUUAUUGUGGUGGUCUAUUUCAGGAGUAAGGAAGAAGAAAUGGUGUUGGGCAAGCAGGUCCUUUGGAGCUGGAAGGAAGAAUGCAUGUAGAUCAUAUGGAGAACAGUUCCUUUUCCUACUGAAUCCAGGGGCUCUGGGACUCUUAGUAAGAAGUUAAUAUUAUUCUCUGGCAUGUCUUUUCACAUUGGCUCCUGAAAUCCUGAAAACCUUAGUGAGCAUUUAGUAAAAAAAAAAAAUAGUAUGGGUUUAUGAAAAGGAGCUGGAUUUGAAGUUAGGAGACGACUUGGCUUUAGAUCCUAGUUCUGAUAUUUAUUAACUGCAUAACUGUGUGCUAAUUGAGCUUCAGUUUCUUUGUAAAAUGAAGAAAAUACAAUCAUGAACUUUUUAGAUUUGAAAUGUAUCAUAGGAUCAUAGGUCUAUAUUUGGAAGGGCCUUAGAAGUCAUUUAGUCCAAUUUUCUAAGUUUAUAGAUGAGAAAUCUGAGCCUCGGGGAAGUUCAAUGUUGUUGUUCAGCCUUCAUUUUUGAAGAUGAUCGAUAACAUUACAGGUGAUGUUUUGAUUAAUGCAUGAACUGGAUAUAAGUGAAGCAAAGUUGCACAAAGAAAUCCAGUGGCAGAACAAAAGUCAGGGUGACUGUUGAUGACUGGGAUGCAGUGGAUGACCUUGAUGUCUUUGAUAUUAACCAAACUCUAAGUGAUCCAUGGAUCAUCUGCCUUCAUGGCCUUUGGAACAUUUUUUCUUAUCUGUCCAUUUCACUGGGAGGAGUCUCUACAUGUUUGGGAUAGACAUCCACUAACUCACCAAUGAACUGAGGCCCAUCAGUUACUCUUAAUCUGGUUUAGCCAAGGUGAUCUUACCAGGGUGUGGCCAUUGCACAUGCCAUAGCUUCUUAAAGCCAUAAGUAGGAGUCAGGAAAUUUCAGUAAUUUGUCCAAGGUCAUAAAAAUAGUAAGUGGCCAGAGCUGAGAGUUGAACUCAGGUCCUGAGACUCCAAUUUCAAACUUAUUCAUACUACUAACCUGGAUCUUAGACAUCGCUAGUCCAAACCUCUCAUUUUAUGGGUGAAGAAAAUGAGGUUCAAGAUUAAUGACUCAUCUAAGUUCAGUGUUAGAGUCCAGAUGAGAAUCUGUUAUCUUGACUUAUAUCUAGUUCUCUUUCUCACAAUUCACAGAACUGCAAAGCUUUGUAAAAUGUAGAGUGCAUUCUGUAAAUGUCACUUAUCAUUUUGUCUUUUUGCCUUUCCUCAAAGAGCAAAAGUGAUUUGGCUAAGGUCACAAACUGAGUCAAGUGGCAAAAGCCAGGGUGGGAAUCACAGAACGUAGAGUUGUAGAAAUAGAAGGAUAUGGAAGUUGUUGUAGAAGGGUAUGACGCUUGAAGAUCAUCUUUGCCAACUCCUUUUCAGAUCCAUGUUCUUAAUAUCAGACCAUGUUGCCUGCCAAAUAUGGCAACUGAGCCAAACGUUUGGUUAUUUUCUCCCACCUGGGCAGAGAACACAAUGGAUUCUAAAGGUACUGCUGGUUCUUCCUGAAAUCUGAGGAUUUGAUUCUUCAUUCACAAAGCACUUAUUCCUGCAGAUCUCUCCUCCAAUAUCAUUACCCAUACUUCCUAGCUCAAUAAGACAUUGGUUCAAUAAGAACCAAUGUCUUCUACUUUCCAUGCCCUGAAUUGGGUCCCAGUCUGGAGUGCCAUUAGAAACAGAGAAUGGUAGAGCUAGAAGAUGGAGGGAGUCUUAAGGAUCAUUUAUUUCAAACCUUUUAUUUUGUAAAAUGCCCCAACAGGGGACAAUACUUAUAUAGGGUCUCAUAGUACCCAAAGUAGAGCCCUGGCCCUCAGACUCCUAGAACAAGUUCUUUCCAUUAUUAUAGACUAUUGUCUGUUGUUCACCAGUAGGAUGAAUCAAUAUAAUAAAAUAACACAGUGGAAUAUUCUCUGGAUUUUGAGUCAGAAGAAAUGGGUUCAGUUUCUCUGUAAUAUGAGACUCAGACAAGAUAACCUCUAAGGUCCUUUUCAUGAAACAAAGCAAUUUGUCUGCAGAGAAAAGCCUUCUCUAAAUAUUCCUGAGGGCAGUUUAGUAGUCCCCUUUAAAUGGAGAUGAUUAAUAGGAUCUUUCCUUUUCUCCUCUCACUUUUUCUCCCCAAGAUGUGAAAAGAAGAACAAAAAUCUGGGAGAUUCUGGCUGUGCUAUCAUCUAGUUUUGUGACUUUGGGCAACUCGCUGUUCUUUUCUUGUGACUUCAGUUUCCCUAAAGUGAGGAAAACAAUGUUUGAAAGACCUAGGAGUUGAUAUAGGAAAAGUUCAGCAUAACCUGAAAGUGCUAUUAAAAUGGGAGUUAUUAUUUAUGAGCCAUAAAAUCAGUGGUCAUUAAAUACUUCCAACCUUGAGGCCAAUGAGAACAGAGUGAGGGAGGGGAGCCAGGUGACAGGCAGCAGGCCCUCAGCACCCCUCCUGGCUUGUAGCUGAGCUGGCUUAGGCCUGCAUGGCCAUAUAAGGGAAGGAACAUUGACUGAAGUGGGACUAGGCGGGGUGGGGGCUGGGAAGGCCUUGCUCAGGACAGGGAUGGAGAAAAUCCAGACAUCCACUGUUUAUUUUCUUCCUGUGCACUUCCUCCUGACUUAUGGGGCUCGGGUUAAAGACCCAGUGUCUCCCUGAGAGAGGCUGCUCCUCAUUUUUUAAA
Long non-coding RNA from Antechinus flavipes (yellow-footed antechinus), 3721 nucleotides. RefSeq lists it as uncharacterized. Lineage: Eukaryota; Metazoa; Chordata; Mammalia; Dasyuromorphia; Dasyuridae. The transcript is spliced from 5 exons. The record is from RefSeq and is a predicted model, not a curated record.